Molecule: long non-coding RNA, 936 nt
Organism: Thunnus maccoyii (southern bluefin tuna)
Lineage: Eukaryota; Metazoa; Chordata; Actinopteri; Scombriformes; Scombridae
Exons: 3
Source: RefSeq, a predicted model, not a curated record
CACGCCGUCUAGAUCUACAAGUCACCUCACAGACGUCCACUCAACACUUACUUUGAAUUUGAUACACAAAUUAUUGAUGGGGUUGCAGUGUCUGCGCAUAAUGCAAUGAUCGCUUCAUCUCAGAGCUGCCAUGGGAGAGGUGAUGGCCUGCGCUCUGGCAACACACACCCUGUUUCCCCUUCUGACAGCGCCGUGGACAGAAACCUGAGGCACCAGGCUCCAGGAUCGUAAGAUGGUGGUGAACAGAAGGAUGGAAGAAAGACUAUAAAUAUACAUCUCAGGUCCAAACGCUGACACUGGAGAAAAAACAGCUGGAAUUGAACAUCGGGAAUUUCUGCUCCCUAGUGCAACAAGGGCUGCGCUCCACUACCAUAGUAGCUGUACUCUUCUAUAAUUAGGUGUCACCAAUUCCCCGUCCUCAUCUGCUUUGAGUUGGAAAGACUCCAUGGGCCAGAAAUCAAGCAGCUGAUGUCUGUUGUUUUCUUCAUAUCUGAAGGUAUUUCCAGAUGAAGAUGAAGAGGGGAGGAAGCUCAUUGGAAGUACUAAGACAGAUCCAGAGGCUGGUCCAUCCACUCUCCUCUCCUUCCCCUGAUACAUGUGAUGAAUCACCACUGACUGCACCCACAUCUCUCUCUGUCAGACAGGGGCCGACCCCAGUCUAAUAUACACACCCCUAGGACCCACUCAUAUUUCUCCAUCGCACUCCAUCCAUGGCUCUCUUUUUCUCCAUUCUUCACUCUCUCACCUUCUUUCUUUCCUCAAGUUUUCCCUGUUUCUCGUCGCUGCCACCCCUCCUCCUCCUCCUCCUCCUCCUCCUCCUCCUCCUGUCCUCCUUUUUUCAGACUCUUCUUUAUUUCCUCCAUGCUCUCAAAUCACCCUCUCUGAAUUUCCCACAUGAAAAAUAAAGUAUCCCUAUCGCACUACUCAUCUUUACUA